RNAcentral lists this ribosomal RNA (492 nucleotides) under uncultured bacterium. Its description in RNAcentral is "partial 16S ribosomal RNA". It matches the Rfam family "Bacterial small subunit ribosomal RNA", at positions 29 to 507 of the family's 1533-position model. The record is from RNAcentral.
AGUGAACGCUGGCGGUAGGCCUAACACAUGCAAGUCGAACGGCAGCACAGUAAGAGCUUGCUCUUACGGGUGGCGAGUUGCGGACGGGUGAGGAAUACAUCGGAAUCUACUUUUUCGUGGGGGAUAACGUAGGGAAACUUACGCUAAUACCGCAUACGACCUACGGGUGAAAGCAGGGGAUCUUCGGACCUUGCGCGAUUGAAUGAGCCGAUGUCGGAUUAGCUAGUUGGCGGGGUAAAGGCCCACCAAGGCGACGAUCCGUAGCUGGUCUGAGAGGAUGAUCAGCCAAACUGGAACUGAGAAACGGUCCAGACUCCUACGGGAGGCAGCAGUGGGGAAUAUUGGACAAUGGGCGCAAGCCUGAUCCAGCCAUACCGCGUGGGUGAAGAAGGCCUUCGGGUUGUAAAGCCCUUUUGUUGGGAAAGAAAAGCAGCAGGUUAAUACCCCGCUGUUCUGACGGUACCCAAAGAAUAAGCACCGGCUAACUUCGUG